Callipepla squamata (scaled quail) is the source of this 296-nucleotide ribosomal RNA. It matches the Rfam family "Eukaryotic large subunit ribosomal RNA", at positions 24 to 664 of the family's 3401-position model. The record is from Rfam. NCBI's taxonomy places the organism in Eukaryota, Metazoa, Chordata, Aves, Galliformes, Odontophoridae.
CCCCCUCAGCUAACAAGGAGGUUUAAACUCCUGUUUUUAGAAUCACAAUCUAAUGUUUUGAGAGAGUUCAAGAGGGCAUGAAACUGUUAAGAGGUUCCCGCGGACGGUGUGAGGCCGGUAGCGGCCCCCCGGCGCACCGGGCCCGGGGCUUCUCGGAGUCGGGUUGCUUGGGAAUGCAGCCCAAAGCGGGUGGUAAACUCCAUCUAAGGCUAAAUACCGGCACGAGACAGAUAGCCAAAAAGUACCGUAAGGGAAAGUUGAAAAGAACUAUGAAGAGAGAGAGUGUCCAAACUGAG